AUCCAGCUGACGAGUCCAAAAUAGGACGAAACGCAAGCCCUGGAU
Schistosoma mansoni is the source of this 45-nucleotide non-coding RNA. Lineage: Eukaryota; Metazoa; Platyhelminthes; Trematoda; Strigeidida; Schistosomatidae. The record is from Rfam.